Molecule: ribosomal RNA, 468 nt
Filed under: uncultured bacterium
Lineage: Bacteria
Description: partial 16S ribosomal RNA
Rfam family: Bacterial small subunit ribosomal RNA
Source: RNAcentral
GAUGAACGCUGGCGGCAGGCUUAACACAUGCAAGUCGAACGGUGAAGGCGGAGCUUCCUCUGCUGGAUCAGUGGCGAACGGGUGAGUAACACGUGAGCAAUCUGCCCCUGACUCUGGGAUAAGCGCUGGAAGCGGCGUCUAAUACUGGAUACGAGCUGCGAAGGCAUCUUCAGCAGCUGGAAAGAAUUUCGGUCAGGGAUGAGCUCGCGGCUUAUCAGCUUGUUGGUGAGGUAAUGGCUCACCAAGCCGUCGACGGAUAGCCGGCCUGAGAGCGUGACCGGCCACCCUGGGCCUACGACACGCAGCAGACGGGUAUAGGAGGCAGUAGGGGGGAGUAUUGUACAGUGGGAGCGAGCGUGAUGAAGAAGCGCUGGGUGAGGGAAGACGGCCUUCGGGUUGUGAAACUCUGUAAGCAAGGAAGAAGCGAAAGUGACGGUACCUGCAGAAAAAGCGCCGGCUAACUACGUG